Molecule: ribosomal RNA, 1548 nt
Filed under: Escherichia coli
Lineage: Bacteria; Pseudomonadati; Pseudomonadota; Gammaproteobacteria; Enterobacterales; Enterobacteriaceae
Description: partial 23S ribosomal RNA
Rfam family: Bacterial large subunit ribosomal RNA
Source: RNAcentral
GAAUGCUGACAUAAGUAACGAUAAAGCGGGUGAAAAGCCCGCUCGCCGGAAGACCAAGGGUUCCUGUCCAACGUUAAUCGGGGCAGGGUGAGUCGACCCCUAAGGCGAGGCCGAAAGGCGUAGUCGAUGGGAAACAGGUUAAUAUUCCUGUACUUGGUGUUACUGCGAAGGGGGGACGGAGAAGGCUAUGUUGGCCGGGCGACGGUUGUCCCGGUUUAAGCGUGUAGGCUGGUUUUCCAGGCAAAUCCGGAAAAUCAAGGCUGAGGCGUGAUGACGAGGCACUACGGUGCUGAAGCGACAAAUGCCCUGCUUCCAGGAAAAGCCUCUAAGCAUCAGGUAACAUCAAAUCGUACCCCAAACCGACACAGGUGGUCAGGUAGAGAAUACCAAGGCGCUUGAGAGAACUCGGGUGAAGGAACUAGGCAAAAUGGUGCCGUAACUUCGGGAGAAGGCACGCUGAUAUGUAGGUGAAGCGACUUGCUCGUGGAGCUGAAAUCAGUCGAAGAUACCAGCUGGCUGCAACUGUUUAUUAAAAACACAGCACUGUGCAAACACGAAAGUGGACGUAUACGGUGUGACGCCUGCCCGGUGCCGGAAGGUUAAUUGAUGGGGUUAGCGGUAACGCGAAGCUCUUGAUCGAAGCCCCGGUAAACGGCGGCCGUAACUAUAACGGUCCUAAGGUAGCGAAAUUCCUUGUCGGGUAAGUUCCGACCUGCACGAAUGGCGUAAUGAUGGCCAGGCUGUCUCCACCCGAGACUCAGUGAAAUUGAACUCGCUGUGAAGAUGCAGUGUACCCGCGGCAAGACGGAAAGACCCCGUGAACCUUUACUAUAGCUUGACACUGAACAUUGAGCCUUGAUGUGUAGGAUAGGUGGGAGGCUUUGAAGUGUGGACGCCAGUCUGCAUGGAGCCGACCUUGAAAUACCACCCUUUAAUGUUUGAUGUUCUAACGUGGGCCCCUUACCGGGGUUGCGGACAGUGUCUGGUGGGUAGUUUGACUGGGGCGGUCUCCUCCUAAAGAGUAACGGAGGAGCACGAAGGUUGGCUAAUCCUGGUCGGACAUCAGGAGGUUAGUGCAAUGGCAUAAGCCAGCUUGACUGCGAGCGUGACGGCGCGAGCAGGUGCGAAAGCAGGUCAUAGUGAUCCGGUGGUUCUGAAUGGAAGGGCCAUCGCUCAACGGAUAAAAGGUACUCCGGGGAUAACAGGCUGAUACCGCCCAAGAGUUCAUAUCGACGGCGGUGUUUGGCACCUCGAUGUCGGCUCAUCACAUCCUGGGGCUGAAGUAGGUCCCAAGGGUAUGGCUGUUCGCCAUUUAAAGUGGUACGCGAGCUGGGUUUAGAACGUCGUGAGACAGUUCGGUCCCUAUCUGCCGUGGGCGCUGGAGAACUGAGGGGGGCUGCUCCUAGUACGAGAGGACCGGAGUGGACGCAUCACUGGUGUUCGGGUUGUCAUGCCAAUGGCACUGCCCGGUAGCUAAAUGCGGAAGAGAUAAGUGCUGAAAGCAUCUAAGCACGAAACUUGCCCCGAGAUGAGUUCUCCCUGACUCCU